Molecule: long non-coding RNA, 571 nt
Organism: Homo sapiens (human)
Lineage: Eukaryota; Metazoa; Chordata; Mammalia; Primates; Hominidae
Source: Ensembl
AAAAAUGGCUCCUCUUCCUUCCUAGAGUGUGACCAUCUCUACCUGUGCGCCCACACGGCUGGCCUGAACAUGAGGCAGUGACUCCCGGCUGGAAGGGACCCCGAGGACAGCAAAUACCGAGAGGAGGCUCACCGCAAAGAAAGGGGAAGUACAAACUGUCCAAAUGGCUAGGAGGGGAGGACGUUGGUUCUGACACAGCCUGGGACCUACUCCUGACCCAGACGUGUGGCUCGGAGGAUGGGUUUCAGGAAGCCUGGCUGAGGGUGAGCACAGGAGGGUGAGCACAGGAGGCCGAGGCAGCUGGCUUGCUUGAGCCCAGGAGUUAGAGACCAGCUUGGGGCAACGUAGCAAGACCCCGUCUCUACAAAAAAAUUCAAAAAUUAAUCAGGCAUGGUGAUGCAUCUUUGCAAUCCCAGCUACUCAGGAGACUGAGGCAGGAGGGUCACCUGAGCCCAGGGAGGCCAAGGCUGCAAUGAGUUCUGAUCAUGCCAUUGCACUCCAGCCUGGGUGAGUUAGUGAAACCCUGUCUCAAAAAACAAAAAACAAAACCAAAAAAACGCUGGAACCAGAG